RNAcentral lists this ribosomal RNA (497 nucleotides) under uncultured bacterium. RNAcentral describes it as "partial 16S ribosomal RNA". It matches the Rfam family "Bacterial small subunit ribosomal RNA", at positions 28 to 507 of the family's 1533-position model. The record is from RNAcentral.
GAUGAACGCUGGCGGCGUGCCUAAUACAUGCAAGUCGAGCGAACAGACGCGUAGCUUGCUGCUGUGACGUUAGCGGCGGACAGGGGAGUAACACGUGGAGAACCUCCUUAUAAGACUGGGAUAACUUCGGGAAACCGGAGCGAAUACCGGGGAAUAUAUUGAACCGCAUGGUUCAAUAGUGAAAGACGGUUUUGCUGUCACUUAUAGAUGGAUCCGCGCCGUAUUAGCUAGUUGGUAAGGUAACGGCUUACCAAGGCAACGAUGCGUAGCCGACCUGAGAGGGUGGUCGGCCGCCCUGGAACUGAGGCACGGUCCAGACUCCUACGGGAGGCAGCAGUAGGGAAUCUUCCGCAAUGGGCGAAAGCCUGACGGAGCAACGACGCGUGAGUGAUGAAGGUCUUCGGCUCGUAAAGCUCUGUUUUUAGGGAAGAACAAAUGUGUAAGUAACUAUGCACGUCUUGACGGUACCUAAUCAGAAAGCCACGGCUAACUACGUG